Molecule: transfer RNA, 74 nt
Filed under: Pseudomonas phage vB_PaeM_PA5oct
Lineage: Duplodnaviria; Heunggongvirae; Uroviricota; Caudoviricetes; Arenbergviridae
Also listed under: 3 other names
Description: tRNA-Pro
Rfam family: tRNA
About the family: Transfer RNA (tRNA) molecules are approximately 80 nucleotides in length. Their secondary structure includes four short double-helical elements and three loops (D, anti-codon, and T loops). Further hydrogen bonds mediate the characteristic L-shaped molecular structure. tRNAs have two regions of fundamental functional importance: the anti-codon, which is responsible for specific mRNA codon recognition, and the 3' end, to which the tRNAs corresponding amino acid is attached (by aminoacyl-tRNA synthetases). tRNAs cope with the degeneracy of the genetic code in two manners: having more than one tRNA (with a specific anti-codon) for a particular amino acid; and 'wobble' base-pairing, i.e. permitting non-standard base-pairing at the 3rd anti-codon position.
Source: RNAcentral
CUAGGCAUAGCUCAAGUAGGUAGAGCACUUGCUUUGGGAGCAAGAGGUUGGGGAUUCGAGGUCUCCUGCCUAGA